Molecule: long non-coding RNA, 999 nt
Filed under: Mus spicilegus (steppe mouse)
Lineage: Eukaryota; Metazoa; Chordata; Mammalia; Rodentia; Muridae
Description: lncRNA (ENSMSIG00000018911.1)
Source: RNAcentral
GUUUCAGAGCACGUCCUCCUCGGCAGAGGGGGCUGGACUAGACCUUGGACAGCCCCCCCAAAAACUUGCCGAGCCUCACACACCACUUCACUCUGCACUCCGAGGCUCAGGGAGCAAGUGUUUGGAGUGGGGGGGAAAGUUGGCUUUUUUUCCCCCUCCUUGGUCUUUAGCGCCCUUUUCUCUCCCUCAGAAGAGAAGAGCGACAUAAACUAUUUUAGACGCAAUCAAGGAAGAAUCGCCCAUCAUGUGGAAUUGAGCGGCAGUUUUAAAUGUACUAAGAGAAGACUGGUCUCGAAAAAAAAAACAAAAAAACAAAACAUUUUUUUUCCCCUUCUUUUUUUGGAGACGCCUAAAGGAGCCUGUUUGUGUGCUGUGUGGCCACGUUCUGCUGUGACUGGAUCUUGUCUUCUGCCUGGCUCCUCGAUUUCAUUCCGGCUGGAUUUGGGGACAACACUGCUUGGCGCAGACAGAUCAAAUGACACUUCAAAGAAGCAUAAAAUGAACAGACUAUUCAAACAAAGACCGGGGCAGCAGUACGCCAGCAAGAGGGCAUGUUCUGCCCGCCUAGAAGUCCUAAGAAAUCGAGGAUCUCCCUUAAAACAUUCACAUACAAGAUAUGUGCAAUCAAGCUGCCUGCACUUGGUAAAAAAGAUCAUGAUGCCUAACCCAAUGAUCCGGAGCAGAUCUUUGAAUCAGCUGUCACUUCUAUAGAUGGGAUUUCCCCCUUCUUCCUCUUUAACCAGCGUUGGAAACUGCCGAUGGCUUUAUACAUCUCAGUAGAGGAAGGCUAAAGAAUCUUCCGUGAGAAUGAAGCAAUUUACAAUGCAAAUAGAGGCCUGUGAAGAGAAGGACACUGCUGCUCACCCCCAACAGCUUGCUGCACCUUAGUCGCUGGUCUUAAUUUCUGAUACUCAUAGAUGAAUUGUUGGCUAACGAUACUGGAGAUUACUUGCUGGAAGGGGAAAAGUUUGGAAUAAACUCUGAAUGCAACAGAUCUCA